ACCGCAUGGUUUUGCAAUCAAAGGAGCAAUCCGCUGAGAGAUGGACUCGCGUCCGAUUAGCCAGUUGGCGGGGUAACGGCCCACCAAAGCGACGAUCGGUAGCCGGACUGAGAGGUUGACCGGCCACAUUGGGACUGAGACACGGCCCAGACUCCUACGGGAGGCAGCAGUGGGGGAUAUUGCACAAUGGGGGAAACCCUGAUGCAGCAACGCCGCGUGUGGGAAGAAGGUUUUCGGAUUGUAAACCACUGUUCUCAGGGACGAUAAUGACGGUACCUGAGGAGAAAGCUCCGGCUAACUACGUGCCAGCAGCCGCGGUAAUACGUAGGGAGCGAGCGUUGUCCGGAUUUACUGGGUGUAAAGGGUGCGUAGGCGGCUCUGCAAGUCAGUCGUGAAAACCAUGGGCUCAACCCGUGGACUGCGAUUGAAACUGUGGAACUUGAGUGAAGUAGAGGCAGGCGGAAUUCCCGGUGUAGCGGUGAAAUGCAUAGAGAUCGGGAGGAACACCAGUGGCGAAGGCGGCCUGCUGGGCUUUAACUGACGCUGAGGCACGAAAGUAUGGGUAGCAAACAGGAUUAGAUACCCUGGUAGUCCAUACCGUAAACGAUGAUUACUAGGUGUGGGGGGUCUGACCCCCUCCGUGCCGGAGU
RNAcentral lists this ribosomal RNA (650 nucleotides) under uncultured bacterium. RNAcentral's name for it is "bacterial SSU rRNA". It matches the Rfam family "Bacterial small subunit ribosomal RNA", at positions 185 to 852 of the family's 1533-position model. The record is from RNAcentral.